Molecule: long non-coding RNA, 369 nt
Filed under: Notechis scutatus (mainland tiger snake)
Lineage: Eukaryota; Metazoa; Chordata; Lepidosauria; Squamata; Elapidae
Description: lncRNA (ENSNSUG00000012294.1)
Source: RNAcentral
UACAGAUUUGUGAAGGUCAUAAAUGUAAGGAUUGGUCAUAAAAUCACUUUUCCAUCAUUGCUGCAACUAUGAAUAGUCACUAAACAAGACAUCACUAAAGGAAGACUGGAAUACAUGUGUGUCAAAAAGUUCAAGAUGUAGUCAUGGCUGUGAUUUUAACCACAAUGUAAAGGUCUGAACCAUCCAAUUCACAUAGGGAACCAUAGUCCUCAUCUGAGGAAAGCUGAAAUAAGGAAGAAUGGACUUAAACUUCAGGAAGAAUAUAACCAUGGAACCAAUUGUCCAGCAAGGUGGUGGACAUUAAAAAAAGCUGGACAGCCGUAUAUUGGAGAAAUAUAAUCUGAAAACUACUGGAAUAGGAAAGAGGGA